GCCCGGCUAGCUCAAUCGGUAGAGCAUGAGACUCUUAUGAAGAUCCUUCAGAUUCUCACGAGAUUCAUCUCAAGGUUGUGGGUUCGACCCCCACGUCGGGCU
Immersiella caudata is the source of this 102-nucleotide non-coding RNA. The record is from the annotation of a GenBank genome assembly. NCBI's taxonomy places the organism in Eukaryota, Fungi, Ascomycota, Sordariomycetes, Sordariales, Lasiosphaeriaceae.